Molecule: non-coding RNA, 1049 nt
Organism: Malus domestica (apple)
Lineage: Eukaryota; Viridiplantae; Streptophyta; Magnoliopsida; Rosales; Rosaceae
Source: RefSeq, a predicted model, not a curated record
GAGAAGACCAAGAGGGGAAAGUAGUCUAUCCAAUAUUCUACGACGUUGACCCUUCUCAAGUGAGGAAACAGAGCGGUAGUUUUGGGGAAGCAUUUCGGAAGCAUGAAAGGGAUGAAGAUCCAGAUGAGGUGGAGCAGUGGAGAAGGGACCUUAAGGCUUGUGCAGAUUUGUGUGGCCGGAAUCUUAAAACCACGGCGGACGGGCGUGAAGGAUUGUUUAUCCAGAAUGUUGUUGGGGACAUCAUCGCACUAACAAAAACCAGAGACUUACAGACAAGUCAGUCGAGCACUCGGUUGGAAUACCUCGUUGCGUGGGCAAGAGUUCCUACUACUGUUUUUUUUUUUUUUUUGAAAUACCCCCCUAUUUAUAACCGAGGAGGGAAGAGAGAUGUCGGUAACUUCUUUCCCAUAGCCUAGUCAGCACUUUUUCUUUUCUUUUUUUAUCUUUUUUCUCCUUUUGGGUAUAAAGAAAGAUUACUCUUUUUCACCCACCCCACUCUCUCCUCUCCCCUCUCUCUCUCCCCUCACCUAUUACUUUUUUUCUUUGAUUCACCCACUUUCUCCUCUCCCCCGUCUCUCGUCGCCCCCUCUUUCCCUCUCUCUUUCCUUUCUCUGCUUCUCUCUAACCAUAAGAGUUACAAGCAUUUGAAGAAAGAAUAAUAAGAAGAAGAGGACCCAGAUGAUCCAGUUCUCAUAUUCUUCAAGGUCUCGCACUUCAACCCAAGACGCGAAGACAAUCUCUCUCCAGCCGAUGCCCACGAUUUUGAGUAUGGAGUUUCUUCGCCUUAGAAAAUCCAACAUUGGGCGCUGAAGGAUCAUAGUAGUUGGAUGGUUGCAUCCAACAAAAAUCAACUUAUUGUAAUUAUAUUUAACAAUGAAUAACUGUGGGUUUUAUCCCAAUGUAUGUAAACUUGUGUGAUUUGGAAUGUCUUAGCUGUCAUAGCAGUGAUGAAUUGUGUGCUACAGUUUGGUUCUGCAGCGGGUUAUGUCAUUGAUACAUGUUAAAAAAAAUUAUGACUCAAUAUGAUUCGUUAUGAAAGUUUACCAAAA